This 522-nucleotide ribosomal RNA is filed under the name uncultured Pelagibacterales bacterium. Its description in RNAcentral is "bacterial SSU rRNA". It matches the Rfam family "Bacterial small subunit ribosomal RNA", at positions 103 to 660 of the family's 1533-position model. The record is from RNAcentral. Lineage: Bacteria; Pseudomonadati; Pseudomonadota; Alphaproteobacteria; Candidatus Pelagibacterales.
CGGGUGAGUAUAAUGUGGGAAUCUGCCUUUUGGUUUGGAAUAACACGGGGAAACUUGUGCUAAUACCGAAUAAGCCCUUACGGGGAAAGUUUUAAUGCCGAAAGAUGAGCCCGCACUUGAUUAGCUAGUUGGUAAGGUAAAAGCUUACCAAGGCAACGAUCAAUAGCUGUUCUUAGAGGAAGACCAGCCACAUUGGGACUGAGACACGGCCCAGACUCCUACGGGAGGCAGCAGUGGGGAAUCUUGCACAAUGGGGGAAACCCUGAUGCAGCGAUGCCGCGUGAGUGAAGAAGGCCUUUGGGUUGUAAAACUCUUUCGUCGGGGAAGAAAAUGACUGUACCCGAAUAAGAAGGUCCGGCUAACUUCGUGCCAGCAGCCGCGGUAAUACGAAGGGACCUAGCGUAGUUCGGAAUUACUGGGCUUAAAGAGCUCGUAGGUGGUUAAAAAAGUUGAUGGUGAAAUCCCAAGGCUCAACCUUGGAACUGCCAUCAAAACUUUUUAGCUAGAGUGUGAUAGAGGUAA